UCUGCAAAUUUCUAAAUAUUUCAAUUAUUUUGGUAAUUUAUUCCAAAUAAACUGUCAACAAGUGUGUCUGUAACAAUGCAGACAACAGAAAAGAUUCAGGAAAUGUUUUUU
Dermochelys coriacea (leatherback sea turtle) is the source of this 111-nucleotide long non-coding RNA. RefSeq lists it as uncharacterized. The record is from RefSeq and is a predicted model, not a curated record. The transcript is spliced from 3 exons. Lineage: Eukaryota; Metazoa; Chordata; Testudines; Dermochelyidae.